Molecule: long non-coding RNA, 537 nt
Filed under: Pan troglodytes (chimpanzee)
Lineage: Eukaryota; Metazoa; Chordata; Mammalia; Primates; Hominidae
Description: lincRNA
Source: RNAcentral
GGUAAACCCAGGAAGAUGGCUGAAGACUAUGCUGAUUCAAGCCAAAGCAAGGAAUCAGCUUCUGCUGAUCCUGCUUUUUGGAAUUAAGAAUUCCCAAACAGGUUGCUUCCAAUACGGCUGAAUAGGAACAGCUCCAGUCUACAACUCCCAGUGAGAUCGAUGCAGAAGGAUGGGCCGCAAAGGAGAUUCUUCCAAGAUUUCAGAAGUUGGAAGGGAAGCAGAAUCCAUUUGAUAACACAAACACAUUAUUGCUUAUCUGUUGACUCAACUUGGGAUGAAGAAGCAGUUGAGCCAGUUGUGUGUGUAGAGCUCAAGGACAAAGGUCCUUAGCUUCUGCAGAAUACUAUCAUCACCAAGCUCACAGGCUUCUAGAGCAGACAUGUGCUUCAGUCCAUUCUGUGGGCUUCCAGCUUCUACUCUUGGAGUUCCAUCCUUUUUUAUGAUAUUACCUUUCUAACUGCAUAUGCUGUGGACUUCAAGCACUUGAAUCAGAUGUAGAGACAUUAUAUGGACUGCUUGAGUAGCCCCCACAACUGU